RNAcentral lists this ribosomal RNA (3150 nucleotides) under Streptomyces sp. SID6041. RNAcentral describes it as "23S ribosomal RNA". It matches the Rfam family "Bacterial large subunit ribosomal RNA". The record is from RNAcentral. Lineage: Bacteria; Bacillati; Actinomycetota; Actinomycetes; Kitasatosporales; Streptomycetaceae.
ACAGUGGACGCGAGCAUCUGUGGCCAAGUUUUUAAGGGCGCACGGUGGAUGCCUUGGCACCAGGAACCGAUGAAGGACGUGGGAGGCCACGAUAGUCCCCGGGGAGCCGUCAACCAGGCUUUGAUCCGGGGGUUUCCGAAUGGGGAAACCCGGCAGUCGUCAUGGGCUGUCACCCAUGCCUGAACACAUAGGGCAUGUGGAGGGAACGAGGGGAAGUGAAACAUCUCAGUACCCUCAGGAAGAGAAAACAACCGUGAUUCCGGGAGUAGUGGCGAGCGAAACCGGAUGAGGCCAAACCGUAUGCGUGUGAUACCCGGCAGGGGUUGCGCAUGCGGGGUUGUGGGAUCUCUCUUUCACAGUCUGCCGGCUGUGAGGCGAGUCAGAAACCGUUGAUGUAGGCGAAGGACAUGCGAAAGGUCCGGCGUAGAGGGUAAGACCCCCGUAGCUGAAACAUUGACGGCUCGUUUGAGAGACACCCAAGUAGCACGGGGCCCGAGAAAUCCCGUGUGAAUCUGGCGGGACCACCCGCUAAGCCUAAAUAUUCCCUGGUGACCGAUAGCGGAUAGUACCGUGAGGGAAUGGUGAAAAGUACCGCGGGAGCGGAGUGAAAUAGUACCUGAAACCGUGUGCCUACAAGCCGUGGGAGCGUCGCUCAUUGAGUUUACUCAAUGGGUCGUGACUGCGUGCCUUUUGAAGAAUGAGCCUGCGAGUUUGCGGUGCGUUGCGAGGUUAACCCGUGUGGGGAAGCCGUAGCGAAAGCGAGUCCGAACAGGGCGAUUCAGUAGCGCGCUCAAGACCCGAAGCGGAGUGAUCUAGCCAUGGGCAGGUUGAAGCGGAGGUAAGACUUCGUGGAGGACCGAACCCACCAGGGUUGAAAACCUGGGGGAUGACCUGUGGUUAGGGGUGAAAGGCCAAUCAAACUCCGUGAUAGCUGGUUCUCCCCGAAAUGCAUUUAGGUGCAGCGUCGUGUGUUUCUUGCCGGAGGUAGAGCACUGGAUAGGCGAUGGGCCCUACCGGGUUACUGACCUUAGCCAAACUCCGAAUGCCGGUAAGUGAGAGCACGGCAGUGAGACUGUGGGGGAUAAGCUCCAUGGUCGAGAGGGAAACAGCCCAGAGCAUCGACUAAGGCCCCUAAGCGUACGCUAAGUGGGAAAGGAUGUGGAGUCGCAGAGACAACCAGGAGGUUGGCUUAGAAGCAGCCACCCUUGAAAGAGUGCGUAAUAGCUCACUGGUCAAGUGAUUCCGCGCCGACAAUGUAGCGGGGCUCAAGCGUACCGCCGAAGUCGUGUCAUUGCAGCGUAUAGCCCCAACGGGUGUUGUGAUGGGUAGGGGAGCGUCGUGUGCCGGGUGAAGCAGCCGCGGAAGCGAGUUGUGGACGGUUCACGAGUGAGAAUGCAGGCAUGAGUAGCGAUACACACGUGAGAAACGUGUGCGCCGAUUGACUAAGGGUUCCUGGGUCAAGCUGAUCUGCCCAGGGUAAGUCGGGACCUAAGGCGAGGCCGACAGGCGUAGUCGAUGGACAACCGGUUGAUAUUCCGGUACCCGCUUUGAAACGCCCAAUAUCGAAUCCAUUAAUGCUAAGGCCGUGAAGCCGUUCCGGACCCUUCGGGGAAUGGAAAGUGGUGGAGCCGUCGAUCCAAGGUGGUAGUAGGUAAGCGAUGGGGUGACGCAGGAAGGUAGUCCAGCCCGGGCGGUGGUAGUCCCGGGGUAAGGGUGUAGGACGUCACGUAGGCAAAUCCGCGUGACACAUAGUCUGAGACCUGAUGCCGAGCCGAUUGUGGUGAAGUGGAUGAUCCUAUGCUGUCGAGAAAAGCCUCUAGCGAGUUUCAUGGCGGCCCGUACCCUAAACCGACUCAGGUGGUCAGGUAGAGAAUACCGAGGCGUUCGGGUGAACUAUGGUUAAGGAACUCGGCAAAAUGCCCCCGUAACUUCGGGAGAAGGGGGGCCAUCACUGGUGAUCGGAUUUACUCCGUGAGCUGGGGGUGGCCGCAGAGACCAGCGAGAAGCGACUGUUUACUAAAAACACAGGUCCGUGCGAAGCCGUAAGGCGAUGUAUACGGACUGACGCCUGCCCGGUGCUGGAACGUUAAGGGGACCGGUUAGCUCUGUUUCGACAGGGCGAAGCUGAGAACUUAAGCGCCAGUAAACGGCGGUGGUAACUAUAACCAUCCUAAGGUAGCGAAAUUCCUUGUCGGGUAAGUUCCGACCUGCACGAAUGGCGUAACGACUUCUCGACUGUCUCAACCAUAGGCCCGGUGAAAUUGCACUACGAGUAAAGAUGCUCGUUUCGCGCAGCAGGACGGAAAGACCCCGGGACCUUUACUACAGUUUGAUAUUGGUGUUCGGUUCGGCUUGUGUAGGAUAGGUGGGAGACUUUGAAGCAGCCACGCCAGUGGUUGUGGAGUCGCCGUUGAAAUACCACUCUGGUCGUGCUGGAUGUCUAACCUCGGUCCGUGAUCCGGAUCAGGGACAGUGUCUGAUGGGUAGUUUAACUGGGGCGGUUGCCUCCCAAAGGGUAACGGAGGCGCCCAAAGGUUCCCUCAGCCUGGUUGGCAAUCAGGUGUUGAGUGUAAGUGCACAAGGGAGCUUGACUGUGAGACCGACGGGUCGAGCAGGGACGAAAGUCGGGACUAGUGAUCCGGCGGUGGCUUGUGGAAGCGCCGUCGCUCAACGGAUAAAAGGUACCCCGGGGAUAACAGGCUGAUCUUCCCCAAGAGUCCAUAUCGACGGGAUGGUUUGGCACCUCGAUGUCGGCUCGUCGCAUCCUGGGGCUGGAGUCGGUCCCAAGGGUUGGGCUGUUCGCCCAUUAAAGCGGUACGCGAGCUGGGUUUAGAACGUCGUGAGACAGUUCGGUCCCUAUCCGCUGCGCGCGUAGGAAUAUUGAGAAGGGCUGUCCCUAGUACGAGAGGACCGGGACGGACGAACCUCUGGUGUGCCAGUUGUCCUGCCAAGGGCAUGGCUGGUUGGCUACGUUCGGGAGGGAUAACCGCUGAAAGCAUCUAAGCGGGAAGCCUGCUUCGAGAUGAGUAUUCCCACCUCCUUGAGAGGGUAAGGCUCCCAGUAGACGACUGGGUUGAUAGGCCGGAUGUGGAAGCCCAGUAAUGGGUGGAGCUGACCGGUACUAAUAGGCCGAGGGCUUGUCCUCAGUUG